RNAcentral lists this ribosomal RNA (270 nucleotides) under uncultured archaeon. Its description in RNAcentral is "partial 16S ribosomal RNA". It matches the Rfam family "Archaeal small subunit ribosomal RNA", at positions 477 to 747 of the family's 1478-position model. The record is from RNAcentral.
CAGCACCUCAAGUGGUCAGGAUGAUUAUUAGGCCUAAAGCAUCCGUAGCCUGCUUUGUUAGUUUUCGGUUAAAUCCAUACGCUCAACGUAUGGGCUGCCGGGAAUACUGCAAAGCUGGGGAGUGGGAGAGGUAGACGGUACUCGGUAGGAAGGGGUAAAAUCCUUUGAUCUAUUGAUGACCACCUGUGGCGAAGGCGGUCUACCAGAACACGUCCGACGGUGAGGGAUGAAAGCUGGGGGAGCAAACCGGAUUAGAUACCCGAGUAGUCC